This 468-nucleotide ribosomal RNA is filed under the name uncultured bacterium. RNAcentral's name for it is "partial 16S ribosomal RNA". It matches the Rfam family "Bacterial small subunit ribosomal RNA", at positions 28 to 507 of the family's 1533-position model. The record is from RNAcentral.
GAUGAACGCUGGCGGCGUGCAUAACACAUGCAAGUCGAACGGAAGGGCCCUGCUCUUGUGGCGUGCUCGUGUGCCGAACGGGUGUGUAACACGCGAGGAACCUGUCCCUGACUGUCGGGUAACUCCUCGAAAAUCCGGCUAAUACAGGAUAGGAGAUCUUGCAGCGCGGUGGGGGUUGGUAAGAGUCGGCUGUGCUGGCUGGACUCGCGGCUUAUCAGCUUGUUGGUGGGGUAGUGACUUACCAAGGUUUUGACGGGUAGCCGGCCUGAGAGGGUGACCGGCCACAUUGGUACUGAGAUACGGCCCAGACUCCUACGGGAGGCAGCAGUGGGGAAUAUUGCACAAUGGGCGGAAGCCUGAUGCAGCAACGCCGCGUGCGGGAUGACGGCCUUCGGGUUGUGAACCGCUUUCGCCUGUGACGAAGCGUGAGUGACGGUAAUGGGUAAAGAAGCACCGGCUAACUACGUG